UUCAGGAGAAGGAACUCGGCAAAUUGACACCGUAACUUCGGAAGAAGGUGUGCCCUGGUAGGUUGUAGCCGUACAGGCGAAGGCCGAAGGGGUUGCAAAAAAUCGGUGGCUGCGACUGUUUAAUAAAAACACAGCACUCUGCAAAGAUGAUGAAUCGACGUAUAGGGUGUGACGCCUGCCCGGUGCCGGAAGGUUAAAUGAUGGGGUGCAAGCUCUUGAUUGAAGCCCCGGUAAACGGCGGCCGUAACAAUAACGGUCCUAAGGUAGCGAAAUUCCUUGUCGGGUAAGUUCCGACCUGCACGAAUGGCGUAACGAUGGCCACACUGUCUCCUCCUGAGACUCAGCGAAGUUGAAGUGUUUGUGAUGAUGCAAUCUACCCGCGGCUAGACGGAAAGACCCCGUGCACCUUUACUGUAGCUUUGCAUUGGACUGUGAUGGGAUCUGUGUAGGAUAGGUGGGAGCCUGUGAAGCGGUGGCGCUAGCCAUCGUGGAGGCAACGUUGAAAUACCACCCUGAUGUCAUUGCGGUUCUAACCUUGGCCCCUAUAGCGGGGUUGGGGACAGUGCAUGGUAGGCAGUUUGACUGGGGCGGUCUCCUCCCAAAGAGUAACGGAGGAGCUCGAAGGUACGCUAGGUACGGUCGGACAUCGUGCUGAUAGUGCAAUGGCACAAGCGUGCUUGACUGCGAGACUGACAAGUCGAGCAGGUGCGAAAGCAGGACAUAGUGAUCCGGUGGUUCUGAAUGGAAGGGCCAUCGCUCAACGGAUAAAAGGUACGCCGGGGAUAACAGGCUGAUUCCUCCCAAGAGUUCAUAUCGACGGGGGAGUUUGGCACCUCGAUGUCGGCUCAUCACAUCCUGGGGCUGUAGCCGGUCCCAAGGGUAUGGCUGUUCGCCAUUUAAAGUGGUACGUGAGCUGGGUUUAAAACGUCGUGAGACAGUUUGGUCCCUAUCUGCCGUGGGCGUUGGACGUUUGAGGGGGGCUGCUCCUAGUACGAGAGGACCGGAGUGGACGAACCUCUGGUGUACCGGUUAUCACGCCAGUGGUAUUGCCGGGUAGCUAAGUUCGGGAGAGAUAAGCGCUGAAAGCAUCUAAGUGCGAAACUUGCCCCAAGAUGAGACGUCCCUGGAGGUUAACUCCACUAAAGGGUCGCGGAAGACCACCGCGUUGAUAGGUCGGGUGUGGAAGCGCAGUAAUGCGUUAAGCUAACCGAUACUAAUUGCCCGUGCGGCUUGAUCCU
Molecule: ribosomal RNA, 1238 nt
Filed under: metagenome
Description: bacterial LSU rRNA
Rfam family: Bacterial large subunit ribosomal RNA
Source: RNAcentral